CGGGGUAGAUUGGUGCGCGUUAAGUGUAGCGGAGACGGAAUGUGAGCCGCUGACGAAACAAACAUCCAUUGCUAGCAUUUUUUCGUGUUAGCAAUGAAUGUUUGUGCGGUGCAUCAGUCACAUUCACC
RNAcentral lists this non-coding RNA (128 nucleotides) under Leuconostoc mesenteroides. RNAcentral describes it as "THF riboswitch". It matches the Rfam family "THF (Tetrahydrofolate) riboswitch aptamer". From Rfam's summary of the family: THF riboswitch presents a pseudoknot that joins P1-P2 and the loop of P3 and two THF binding. The record is from RNAcentral. Lineage: Bacteria; Bacillati; Bacillota; Bacilli; Lactobacillales; Lactobacillaceae.